This 333-nucleotide ribosomal RNA is filed under the name Triticum aestivum (bread wheat). RNAcentral's name for it is "partial small subunit ribosomal RNA". The record is from RNAcentral. Lineage: Eukaryota; Viridiplantae; Streptophyta; Magnoliopsida; Poales; Poaceae.
AUGAAGGAGAUCCCGACGAAGAAGAAGACGACGAAGAAGCCGUCGGUUGUCGUCAGUGCCGACGAGACCGACGAGGAGGCGAUGGCGAGGUUUGCUCGGGAGCAUCCGGAGUACGUCCAGGCCGAGCUGGAGUACUACUGGAAGCGUGAGGCGGAGCAGAAGAAGAAGGGGGCGAAGAAGGAGGACGAGGCCGGUCCCUCGACGGUGAUCCCCAUCGAGUCCUCUUCCGAGGAGGACCGGGCAGACUUCUCGGAGGAGGAGGAGGAGGGGUGCGACGACCCGGAGAAGGAGGAGUUCUGGGCGCAGUUCCGCAGCUCCGACGAUGAGGAGUAG